UGUUUGAUCCUGGCUCAGAUUGAACGCUGGCGGCAUGCUUUACACAUGCAAGUCGAACGGCAGCACAGGGGCAACCCUGAUGGCGAGUGGCGAACGGGUGAGUAAUGCAUCGGAACGUAUCCUUAAGUGGGGGAUAACGCACCGAAAGGUGUGCUAAUACCGCAUAAUCUCUGAGGAGAAAAGCAGGGGAUCGCAAGACCUUGCGCUUUUGGAGCAGCCGAUGUCUGAUUAGCUAGUUGGUGAGGUAAAGGCCCACCAAGGCGACGAUCCGUAGCUGGUCUGAGAGGAUGAUCAGCCACACUGGAACUGAGACACGGUCCAGACUCC
This 327-nucleotide ribosomal RNA is filed under the name uncultured bacterium. RNAcentral describes it as "bacterial SSU rRNA". It matches the Rfam family "Bacterial small subunit ribosomal RNA", at positions 10 to 339 of the family's 1533-position model. The record is from RNAcentral.